Molecule: ribosomal RNA, 253 nt
Filed under: uncultured bacterium
Lineage: Bacteria
Description: partial 16S ribosomal RNA
Rfam family: Bacterial small subunit ribosomal RNA
Source: RNAcentral
GACGUAGGGCGCAAGCGUUGUCCGGAUUUAUUGGGCGUAAAGAGCUCGUAGGCGGCUUGUCGCGUCGUCCGUGAAAACUUGGGGCUCAACCCCAAGCUUGCGGUCGAUACGGGCAGGCUAGAGUUCGGUAGGGGAGACUGGAAUUCCUGGUGUAGCGGUGAAAUGCGCAGAUAUCAGGAGGAACACCGGUGGCGAAGGCGGAUCUCUGGGCCUUACCUGACGCUCAGGUGCGAAAGCUAGGGGAGCGAACAGG